Molecule: long non-coding RNA, 1552 nt
Organism: Myxocyprinus asiaticus (Chinese sucker)
Lineage: Eukaryota; Metazoa; Chordata; Actinopteri; Cypriniformes; Catostomidae
Exons: 2
Source: RefSeq, a predicted model, not a curated record
ACAGCGGAACCUCUAGCCAACUGCCAACACUAUAAGGGAAACCCCUGGAGCAAGUACAGUAUACAUGACUGCCUGCCCUGCCCUCCAAAACACUGGUGCAAAGAGGGUGAUCCUACACCACACAUGUGUCCGCCUGGCUUUUACUCUGAUGGCAUAGUUGAUCACUAUGAUCACUACAAUUUUGUUUUGAUAUUUUGUUAUAUAAUGCAGAGACAUUCAUACAUUUUUGAAGGGAUAAUUCACCAAAAAAAUUAAAAUUCUCUCAUUUAUUUUCCCUCAUAUGAUUUUGUUCCAUGAAAAACACAAGGAGACAUUAGGCAGAAUGACAGCCUCAGCCACGUUUUACUCUCAUUGUAUAGAAAAGCAAAUGCAAUAAAAGUGAAUGGUGACUGAGGAUAUCAAUUCCUAACAUUCUGCCCAACAUGUUCUUUUGUGAUGAUCAGAACAAAGAAAGACAUACGGAUUUGGAAUAACAUGAGGGUGAAUAGAUGAUGACGGAAUUUUGAUUUUUGGUUGAAAUAUCCCUUUCUUACACCUACAGCUCACCACAGCUGUCACACAUGUUCCUCACCAACCUACAUUAACAAAUACACUUCAGAUAAACAAUGAUCCAAAUAAGGUGUCAACACUGUUUGGCAGAUGUACUUUUCCACAUUACUGCCCAGCCAGCAGCUCUGUCAUGCUGUCCUGUGCAGAUGGCUGGAUGCCGCUGAACAGCAGUGGACUGAGGAAGUCCAAGGAGAGCAGUUGUGUGCAAUGUGGAGCGGGUACCUAUCGGCCCAGUCUGUCCCCUCAACUCCAGUGCCUCCUGUGUCCACUAGGAUAUCUGUAUCCUCCAAGUCAGCACACACUGAUGGACUCCUAUGUGACUCUGAAAAUACAGUCAUCCUUUGACAUGCUAUGUGACAUGCUAUUCUUUUAUAAUAUUAUUAGAGCUGUCAAAAUUAAUGCGUUAACGCAUGCGAUUAAUUUAAAACAUUUAACACGUGCAUUUUUUAAAAAUUGCUAUUAACUAUUUUACCGUUAAUACGGCAUAAACCAGCAUAAACACUGGUUGGAAGAGCGGAACCUUUGCGAUGUGUUUGCCCGGAGUCAUUACAUUGACGGACACACCACAAACACGCACAUCAGUGAUUCAGUGUUAGUGAUCAAAUGAUGGGGAAAGGAUCUCUUAAUGUUUUGUUGUACAAAACAAACCUAGAUGGGACUUGUGAGAGUAAUCAAGUAUUUUUAAGCCUAAGUAAGGCACAUUUGAAUUAUUACAGAAUCACGCCAUGUCUUACUAUCACCAAAACACAGAAUGAGACGAUUUCUUCUGCAAACGCUUUUCAUGUGGAGUUCAAAGCGGUGCCUGAUGCUGAGUUUAAGAGAUUAAAGGCCAAUUGCAAUGAAUAUGAAACCUAUGUGGGCACUAGUUCAAUUAGUCAAACCCCCACCUAGACUUUGGGAAACAUUUAAUGUUACUUGGAUUGGUGCUAUUUUAGUGCAUUUCUGUCUUUAUACUGUGGAAGGCUUUGUUUGGAAAAUGUUAAUAAAGCAUCAUAUUGUUACA